This is a long non-coding RNA of Oncorhynchus kisutch (coho salmon), 237 nucleotides long. RefSeq lists it as uncharacterized. NCBI's taxonomy places the organism in Eukaryota, Metazoa, Chordata, Actinopteri, Salmoniformes, Salmonidae. The transcript has 3 exons. The record is from RefSeq and is a predicted model, not a curated record.
UAGGCGGAGCAGGAAUGCACGUUUCUAUUUUGCACAUUGCCCUAUCAAUUCCGAUCAUAUAAAACAGCUGAACCAAAUCUCAAAUCAAUAGCAGACAAAGCGCAACUGGAACGGAGUCAGCUGGACGCUGCAGUUGCGGUGGACUCUGCAAGUCUACAAACUGCGGAUGUGCCACGAAAAGUUGUUGUUCCUGCUGCCCGACUGGAUGCAGCAAGUGCGCCUCUGGUUGUGUGUGCA